This 465-nucleotide ribosomal RNA is filed under the name uncultured bacterium. Its description in RNAcentral is "partial 16S ribosomal RNA". It matches the Rfam family "Bacterial small subunit ribosomal RNA", at positions 28 to 507 of the family's 1533-position model. The record is from RNAcentral.
GACGAACGCUGGCGGCGUGCUUAACACAUGCCAGUCGAACGGAAAGGCCCCUUUGGGGGUCCUCGAGUGGCGAACGGGUGAGUAACACGUGAGUAACCUGCCCUUGACUUCGGGAUAACUUCAGGAAACUGGGGCUAAUACCGGAUAGGAAUCCUUGCUGCAUGGUGGGGGUUGGAAAGCUUCGGCGGUUUUGGAUGGACUCGCGGCUUAUCAGCUUGUUGGUGGGGUAGUGGCUUACCAAGGCUUUGACGGGUAGCCGGCCUGAGAGGGCGACCGGCCACAUUGGGACUGGGAUACGGCCCAGACUCCUACGGGAGGCAGCAGUGGGGAAUAUUGCACAAUGGGCGGAAGCCUGAUGCAGCAACGCCGCGUGCGGGAUGACGGCCUUCGGGUUGUAAACCGCGUUCAGCAGGGGCGAAGCUUGUGGUGACGGUACCUGCAGAAGAAGCACCGGCUAACUACGUG